UGAAUUACUUGAGUUUCAUCUUUUAGAAUUGGGCUAACUUACAAAGAGUUUCUCUAUUUUUCUGUGGUUGUUAGAGUAGAAUAUAGUUAAGGUUGUACAACCCAUUAGUUUUUCUUAGUCAUUAAGUUUACUUGCUUGUUAGGUUUUCCUUUUGUAUCAAUGUACAGCUAGCUCAUUAGGUUUUCCUUUUGUAUAAAUGUAUAGUUGCAGC
RNAcentral lists this long non-coding RNA (211 nucleotides) under Capsicum annuum. RNAcentral's name for it is "long non-coding RNA (CANN_LNC020854)". The record is from RNAcentral. Lineage: Eukaryota; Viridiplantae; Streptophyta; Magnoliopsida; Solanales; Solanaceae.